UGUCAUGUGCCGCCCACUUGAGUUUCUGUACGUACAGGCUAAUACUUGCACUCAUAGUCUCACAGUCAGCCCCGUAGCAACCACCACUUGUGCAAGCGCAACGUCUGCAUUUCGCAGUCUGCGCUCUGCAGUUGCACCGUUAUAAACUUUGGAAUUUAAAAUUUGGCACAAAAAAGGUUUCCUUUUCUGUAACUGUCUGCUUACGUGGUACCGUCUCGUGAUGUUAUAAAAUAUGGAUUUGCUGAUAAUUCCGGAAUUCCUGUUGGCUGUCAUCAUCAGUUUGGCUUCGAAAUAUGGAGUUCUAUUCGGCAGGAAUCAUCAGCAAUACGGAAUCGUCCUCAUAUGUUCGGGUUUUCAACUACUGUUGAGUUGCAACGUUCAACGGUAAUAUUUGGGCAAUUCCACGACGGAGAGAACAUCACUCGAAGUUUAGCGUCAACACGUUUAUCGGAAUUCCAUCAACACAUUUGGCUCUUGACAGAUCGGACUUCGGAGAUGGCAGCUUCUGAUGAGACAUAAAUUACGUGUUUACAAAUCCACAGUACACUUCGUGUGCCCUGGUUGUUGACUGCAACGCCAGAUCGGGAAUUCCUGUUCCAAACUAUUUUGGAUUUUUAUCGAAGCGUCAUGGAUUAUUCUAAGCUCGCCUUUUUGAUUGUGAUUUUGAUUUCUGCGAAGUGUGAACAGAUUCAUUUUGGCUAGUAACAUUGUUUGUUGCGUUUGUUACCCUGUCAUUGCAUGCAAUGCAAAAUUUGUUUGACUUUAUCGCGCUUGUUCUGGAAUUCUUUUUUUUAAUACGACGACCGUAAUGCUGUAGAAGUGAUCUUGAAAUAAAAAA
Molecule: long non-coding RNA, 838 nt
Organism: Paramacrobiotus metropolitanus
Lineage: Eukaryota; Metazoa; Tardigrada; Eutardigrada; Parachela; Macrobiotidae
Exons: 3
Source: RefSeq, a predicted model, not a curated record